This 78-nucleotide transfer RNA is filed under the name Rhodospirillales bacterium. RNAcentral's name for it is "tRNA-His". It matches the Rfam family "tRNA". From Rfam's summary of the family: Transfer RNA (tRNA) molecules are approximately 80 nucleotides in length. Their secondary structure includes four short double-helical elements and three loops (D, anti-codon, and T loops). The record is from RNAcentral. RNAcentral also lists the same sequence under 3 other names. Lineage: Bacteria; Pseudomonadati; Pseudomonadota; Alphaproteobacteria; Rhodospirillales.
GCGGGAGUAGCUCAGCUGGUCCAGAGCACCGGGUUGUGGUCCCGGGUGUCGUGGGUUCGAAUCCCAUCUCUCGCCCCA